This 69-nucleotide transfer RNA is filed under the name Stenobrachius leucopsarus (northern lampfish). Its description in RNAcentral is "tRNA-His". It matches the Rfam family "tRNA". Rfam says of the family: Transfer RNA (tRNA) molecules are approximately 80 nucleotides in length. Their secondary structure includes four short double-helical elements and three loops (D, anti-codon, and T loops). Lineage: Eukaryota; Metazoa; Chordata; Actinopteri; Myctophiformes; Myctophidae. The record is from RNAcentral.
GUAGACAUAGUUUAAUCAAGACAUUAGAUUGUGAUUCUAAAAAUAGGAGUUAAACCCUCCUUGUCCACC